GAUGAAGAACGUAGCGAAAUGUGAUAAGUAAUGUGAAUUGCAGAAUCCAGUGAAUCAUCGAAUCUUUGAACGCACAUUGCGCCCGCCAGCAUUCUGGCGGGCAUGCCUGUUCGAGCGUCAUUUCAACCCUCGACCUCCCUUUGGGGAAGUCGGCGUUGGGGACCGGCAGCACACCGCCGGCCCUGAAAUGGAGUGGCGGCCCGUCCGCGGCGACCUCUGCGUAGUAAACCAACUCGCACCGGAACCCCGACGUGGCCACGCCGUAAAACACCCAACUUCUGAACGUUGACCUCGAAUCAGGGAGGACUACCCGCUGAACUUAAGCAUAUCAAUAAGCGGAGGA
RNAcentral lists this unclassified non-coding RNA (343 nucleotides) under soil metagenome. RNAcentral describes it as "partial contains 5.8S ribosomal RNA, internal transcribed spacer 2, and large subunit ribosomal RNA". The stretch from base 1 to 120 matches the Rfam family "5.8S ribosomal RNA", at positions 35 to 154 of the family's 154-position model. The record is from RNAcentral.